This 434-nucleotide ribosomal RNA is filed under the name uncultured bacterium. RNAcentral describes it as "partial 16S ribosomal RNA". It matches the Rfam family "Bacterial small subunit ribosomal RNA", at positions 29 to 507 of the family's 1533-position model. The record is from RNAcentral.
AGCGAACGCUGGCGGCAGGCCUAACACAUGCAAGUCGAACGAACCUUUCGGGGUUAGUGGCGGACGGGUGAGUAACACGUGGGAACGUGCCUUUAGGUUCGGAAUAACUCAGGGAAACUUGUGCUAAUACCGAAUGUGCCCUUCGGGGGAAAGAUUAAUCGCCUUUAGAGCGGCCCGCGUCUGAUUAGCUAGUUGGUUGAGGUAAUGGCUCACCAAGGCGACGAUCAGUAGCUGGUCUGAGAGGAAGAGCAGCCACAUUGGGACUGAGACACGGCCCAAACUCCUACGGGAGGCAGCAGUGGGGAAUCUUGCGCAAUGGGCGAAAGCCUGACGCAGCCAUGCCGCGUGAAUGAUGAAGGUCUUAGGAUUGUAAAAUUCUUUCACCGGGGACGAUAAUGACGGUACCCGGAGAAGAAGCCCCGGCUAACUUCGUG